AUGAAUCCCAUGGGGUACCGCCCCUAUGAUAGCAGUGGGACGGACGAUGAUCUCCCCUCGUCACAAAAUAGAGGACUAAGAGGACGAUCUUUCAGUGGGAAUGGGAGAGCAUCAGCUGGACCGUUUCCUUAUGCAAGGCCACACAAUGAUUUGGAGAGCCAAGUACAUCUGGUUGAGCAAGAGGCGUACACUGGUGUUCUUAGGGCAUUCAAAGUUCAAUCUGAUGCAUUGUCUUGGGAAAAAGAAAGUCUGAUUUCUGAACUCAGGAAGGAACUGAGAGUUUCUGAUGAGGAACACAGGGAGCUAUUAAACAAGGUUAAUGAAGAUGGGGCCAUCCGUGGAAUGAGGGAGCUGAGACAGGGAGGUGGGACCCCGAGUGGGCUGCAUCGUGGCAGCAGAGUUCUUCAUGAUGGAGAACCUGGGCCAACUGCUAAAAGGCAACGACCAUCUCAUUUAAUGCCUUCGCAUUCUUCAGGCCUCCAGUCCCCUGUUAUGUCUUCACAUUCUGUCCCGUCUUCGUCAAAGUGGGGACCAUCUUCAGCAUCAAGGGGGAAAAGAGCAAAGUCGACUACGCCACUGGCAUUACCAUCCAUGGAUCCGACCUCAUUGAUUAGCCGGAAAGUUUUUACAAGAUGGCCAGAUGAUAACAACUUCUAUGAGGCCACUAUAACCCGUUACAAUCCUGCUACAGGCGAACAUGCUCUUGUCUAUGACAUGGGCAAAACAACUGAGUCAUGGGAGUCUGUCAGGCUUUGUGAUAUGAGACCUGAAGAUAUAAGAUGGGAACGUGAUGAUCAAGGCAUCUCAAAUCGAGAUAGUUGGGGCCCUUCUGGUCCAUUGUUGAACAGGAACCAAAACAACAAUGGUAGAGGGAGACUAUCUCAGAAUGAGCAUCCAAAUAAAUAUGGUCCACCUCAAAAUGGCAUCAACAGGAAUAUUGGUGAAAUUGACGUGCCUAACACUCAGAGUGUCGUGAUUGAGGUGGAGAGGGUAUUGUCAAAUCCAAAUAUGCAUGAAAUUGAAAAGGCAAAGAAACUGCUAACAGACCAGGAGCAGUCAUUACUUGAUGCAAUUGCCAGUCUUGACGAUGCAUCAGAUAGCGAAAGUGAGGAUAAGGCCAUGGAAGCCCUAAUGGGUUCUGGUGGUGAUCACACGGGUAGGAACGGCAUUGCCUGUUAG
Molecule: ribosomal RNA, 1179 nt
Filed under: Triticum aestivum (bread wheat)
Lineage: Eukaryota; Viridiplantae; Streptophyta; Magnoliopsida; Poales; Poaceae
Description: partial small subunit ribosomal RNA
Source: RNAcentral